AAUCAACGCUGGCGGCGUGCCUAACACAUGCAAGUCGAACGCGAAAGUUCCUUCGGGAAUGAGUAGAGUGGCGUCCGGGUGAGUAACGCGUGGGUAAUCUACCCUUGGGUGGGGAAUAACCAGUCGAAAGGCUGGCUAAUACCGCAUAAUGCAGCGGCUCGACAUCGAGACAGUUGUUAAAGCAGCAAUGCGCCUAAGGAGGAGCCUGCGUCUGAUUAGCUUGNGGUGAGGUAAUGGCUCACCAAGGCUGCGAUCAGUAGCUGGUCUGAGAGGACGGCCAGCCACAAUGGCACU
RNAcentral lists this ribosomal RNA (294 nucleotides) under uncultured bacterium. RNAcentral's name for it is "partial 16S ribosomal RNA". It matches the Rfam family "Bacterial small subunit ribosomal RNA", at positions 32 to 320 of the family's 1533-position model. The record is from RNAcentral.